GCGCCCGAUCAAGAAGAACUAACUGGUUCUCCCUCCGAAGGCAGGGGUCGCAGGUUCAAAUCCUGCCGGGCGCGCCA
RNAcentral lists this transfer RNA (77 nucleotides) under Nevskiales bacterium. RNAcentral's name for it is "tRNA-Arg". Lineage: Bacteria; Pseudomonadati; Pseudomonadota; Gammaproteobacteria; Nevskiales. The record is from RNAcentral.